CCUACGGGAGGCAGCAGUGGGGAAUAUUGGACAAUGGGGGGAACCCUGAUCCAGCCAUGCCGCGUGUGUGAAGAAGGCCUUAUGGUUGUAAAGCACUUUAAGCGAGGAGGAGGCUACUUUAGUUAAUACCUAGAGAUAGUGGACGUUACUCGCAGAAUAAGCACCGGCUAACUCUGUGCCAGCAGCCGCGGU
This 192-nucleotide ribosomal RNA is filed under the name uncultured Acinetobacter sp. RNAcentral describes it as "partial 16S ribosomal RNA". It matches the Rfam family "Bacterial small subunit ribosomal RNA", at positions 338 to 521 of the family's 1533-position model. Lineage: Bacteria; Pseudomonadati; Pseudomonadota; Gammaproteobacteria; Moraxellales; Moraxellaceae. The record is from RNAcentral.